RNAcentral lists this ribosomal RNA (473 nucleotides) under uncultured bacterium. Its description in RNAcentral is "SSU rRNA". It matches the Rfam family "Bacterial small subunit ribosomal RNA", at positions 26 to 518 of the family's 1533-position model. The record is from RNAcentral.
AGGACGAACGCUGGCGGCGUGCUUAACACAUGCAAGUCGAGCGGAAAGGCCCUUCGGGGUACUCGAGCGGCGAACGGGUGAGUAACACGUGAGUAAUCUGCCCCUAGCUCUGGGAUAGCUCCGGGAAAACCGGGAUUAAUACUGGAUACGACCACCUUAGACAUCUUUUGUGGUGGAAAGAAUUUCGGCUAGGGAUGAGCUCGCGGCCUAUCAGCUUGUUGGUGGGGUAACGGCCUACCAAGGCGACGACGGGUAGCCGGCCUGAGAGGGCGACCGGCCACACUGGGACUGAGACACGGCCCAGACUCCUACGGGAGGCAGCAGUGGGGAAUAUUGCGCAAUGGGCGAAAGCCUGACGCAGCGACGCCGCGUGGGGGAUGAAGGCCGUUCGGGUUGUAACCCUUUCAGCAGGGACGAAGCGAAGUGACGGUACCUGCAGAAGAAGCGCCGGCUAACUACGUGCCAGCAGCCGC